UUUUGAGUACCUUCGUUUCCUCGGCGGGUUCGCCCGCCGAUUGGACAAUUUAAACCAUUUGCAGUUGCAAUCAGCGUCUGAAAAAACAUAAUAGUUACAACUUUCAACAACGGAUCUCUUGGUUCUGGCAUCGAUGAAGAACGCAGCGAAAUGCGAUAAGUAGUGUGAAUUGCAGAAUUCAGUGAAUCAUCGAAUCUUUGAACGCACAUUGCGCCCCUUGGUAUUCCAUGGGGCAUGCCUGUUCGAGCGUCAUUUGUACCUUCAAGCUCUGCUUGGUGUUGGGUGUUUGUCUCGCCUCUGCGCGUAGACUCGCCUCAAAACAAUUGGCAGCCGGCGUAUUGAUUUCGGAGCGCAGUACAUCUCGCGCUUUGCAUUCAGAACGACGACAUCCAAAAGUACAUUUUUACA
Molecule: ribosomal RNA, 408 nt
Filed under: uncultured Peyronellaea
Lineage: Eukaryota; Fungi; Ascomycota; Dothideomycetes; Pleosporales; Didymellaceae
Description: eukaryotic LSU rRNA
Rfam family: 5.8S ribosomal RNA (bases 99-252)
Source: RNAcentral